AACCAACGCUGGCGGCGUGCCUCAGACAUGCAAGUCGAACGCGAAAGUUUCCUUCGGGAGACAAGUAGAGUGGCGCACGGGUGAGUAACACGUAGGUAAUCUACCUUUGGAUGGGGAAUAACAACCGGAAACGGUUGCUAAUACCGCAUAAUGCAGCGGCACCUAAUGGUGACAGUUGUUAAAGCGGGGGAUCGAAAGACCUCGCGUCUGAAGAGGAGCCUGCGGCGGAUUAGCUAGUGGUAAGGUAAUGGCUUACCAAGGCUACGAUCCGUAACCGGCCUGAGAGGGCGGUCGGUCACACUGACACUGACAUACGGGUCAGACUCCUACGGGAGGCAGCAGUCGGGAAUUUUGGGCAAUGGGCGAAAGCCUGACCCAGCAACGCCGCGUGAAGGAUGAAAUCCCUCGGGAUGUAAACUUCGCAAGAACGGGAAGAAUAAGUAGGGGACAAUACCCCCUAUGAUGACGGUACCGUUAGUAAGCUCCGGCUAACUCCGUGCCAGCA
This 505-nucleotide ribosomal RNA is filed under the name uncultured bacterium. RNAcentral's name for it is "bacterial SSU rRNA". It matches the Rfam family "Bacterial small subunit ribosomal RNA", at positions 32 to 513 of the family's 1533-position model. The record is from RNAcentral.